RNAcentral lists this ribosomal RNA (253 nucleotides) under uncultured bacterium. Its description in RNAcentral is "partial 16S ribosomal RNA". It matches the Rfam family "Bacterial small subunit ribosomal RNA", at positions 524 to 776 of the family's 1533-position model. The record is from RNAcentral.
UACGGAGGGGGCUAGCGUUGUUCGGAUUUACUGGGCGUAAAGCGCACGUAGGCGGAUCGUUAAGUCGGGGGUGAAAUCCUGGAGCUCAACUCCAGAACUGCCUUCGAUACUGGCGAUCUCGAGUCCGGAAGAGGUGAGUGGAACUCCUAGUGUAGAGGUGGAAUUCGUAGAUAUUAGGAAGAACACCAGUGGCGAAGGCGGCUCACUGGUCCGGUACUGACGCUGAGGUGCGAAAGCGUGGGGAGCAAACAGG